GCUGGGCGUGGGGGUGCACACCUGUAACCCCAGCAACUUGGAAGACUGAGGCAGGAGGAUCCUAAGUUCAAAGCCAGCCUCAGCAACUUAAUGAGGUCCUAAGCAAUCCAGUGAGAUCCUGUCUCUA
RNAcentral lists this small RNA (127 nucleotides) under Marmota monax (woodchuck). The record is from RNAcentral. Lineage: Eukaryota; Metazoa; Chordata; Mammalia; Rodentia; Sciuridae.